GGGGCUAUGGCGCAAUUGGUAGCGCACCUGCUUUGCAAGCAGGGGGUUAGGGGUUCGAG
This 59-nucleotide transfer RNA is filed under the name Actinomyces sp. S4-C9. It matches the Rfam family "tRNA", at positions 1 to 57 of the family's 71-position model. From Rfam's summary of the family: Transfer RNA (tRNA) molecules are approximately 80 nucleotides in length. The record is from Rfam by way of RNAcentral. Lineage: Bacteria; Bacillati; Actinomycetota; Actinomycetes; Actinomycetales; Actinomycetaceae.